This 71-nucleotide transfer RNA is filed under the name Ictidomys tridecemlineatus (thirteen-lined ground squirrel). Its description in RNAcentral is "Spermophilus tridecemlineatus (thirteen-lined ground squirrel) tRNA". It matches the Rfam family "tRNA". From Rfam's summary of the family: Transfer RNA (tRNA) molecules are approximately 80 nucleotides in length. Their secondary structure includes four short double-helical elements and three loops (D, anti-codon, and T loops). The record is from Rfam by way of RNAcentral. Lineage: Eukaryota; Metazoa; Chordata; Mammalia; Rodentia; Sciuridae.
UGGGAUAUAGCUUGGUGGUACAGCAUUUGCCUAGAUAUGGGAUGCCCUGGGUUUAAUUCCCAGCAUCUCAA